UUUUUCAAUCGCUCAGUUAUUUUUUCUUUGAUAUAUUUUUAUUUUCAAUCGAGUGCUCUUUCUUCAGCGAGUGCUUCUUUCGAACCAUCGAGUACAUUUUAUUUUCUCUUUUUUUUUUUCGAUGAUCGUUUUUUCUUAUUCUAUUUUUUCUCGCACUCACCUUGGUUUUCAAUACUUAUGGGGCUUACCCCAAACUUAGAAUUUUAACACAGCUUAAUAAUAUCACCUUGAC
This 232-nucleotide long non-coding RNA is filed under the name Lathyrus oleraceus (garden pea). RNAcentral's name for it is "Pisum sativum (pea) long non-coding RNA (PSAT_LNC015704)". Lineage: Eukaryota; Viridiplantae; Streptophyta; Magnoliopsida; Fabales; Fabaceae. The record is from RNAcentral.